This 253-nucleotide ribosomal RNA is filed under the name uncultured bacterium. Its description in RNAcentral is "partial 16S ribosomal RNA". It matches the Rfam family "Bacterial small subunit ribosomal RNA", at positions 524 to 776 of the family's 1533-position model. The record is from RNAcentral.
UACGUAGGGGGCAAGCGUUGUCCGGAAUCAUUGGGCGUAAAGAGCGUGUAGGCGGCUCGAUAAGUCCGCUGUGAAAGUCCAGGGCUCAACCCUGGAAGGCCGGUGGAAACUGUCGGGCUAGAGUCCGGAAGAGGCGAGUGGAAUUCCUGGUGUAGCGGUGAAAUGCGCAGAUAUCGGGAGGAACACCAGUAGCGAAGGCGACACUCUGGGCCGAAACUGACGCUGAGGAGCGAAAGCGUGGGUAGCAAACAGG